Molecule: ribosomal RNA, 406 nt
Filed under: uncultured eukaryote
Lineage: Eukaryota
Description: bacterial SSU rRNA
Rfam family: Eukaryotic small subunit ribosomal RNA
Source: RNAcentral
CAAUAGCGUAUAUUUAAGUUGUUGUAGUUAAAAAGCUCGUAGUUGAAACUAAGUCAAAAGAAGAGAGAAACAGGAAGCAAUACACUAUCUUGUGUGUUGUGGAAAGUUGAUUUCUUUGAAAUAAAAUGCGUUGGUCUUUUCCGUCAAAAGAAAUAGAUCAUGUUUACCAUAAAUAAAAUAGAGUGUUUAAGGCAGUACAUUAUGUACAUUGAAUAAUUUAGUAUGGGAUAAUAAAACAGGAAAAUCGGUUGAAUAAAUCGAUUUUAAUGAUUAAUAGGGACAAUUGAGGCAAUCAGUAUUUCUGCACGAGCGGUGAAAUGCGUAGACUGUGGAAAGACUAACUAAUGCGAAAGCAUUUUGCAAAGGUGUUUUCAUUAAUCAAGAACGAAAGUUAAGGGAUCGAAGA